Molecule: ribosomal RNA, 1252 nt
Filed under: Klebsiella pneumoniae
Lineage: Bacteria; Pseudomonadati; Pseudomonadota; Gammaproteobacteria; Enterobacterales; Enterobacteriaceae
Description: bacterial SSU rRNA
Rfam family: Bacterial small subunit ribosomal RNA
Source: RNAcentral
AGAGUUUGAUCAUGGCUCAGAUUGAACGCUGGCGGCAGGCCUAACACAUGCAAGUCGAGCGGUAGCACAGAGAGCUUGCUCUCGGGUGACGAGCGGCGGACGGGUGAGUAAUGUCUGGGAAACUGCCUGAUGGAGGGGGAUAACUACUGGAAACGGUAGCUAAUACCGCAUAAUGUCGCAAGACCAAAGUGGGGGACCUUCGGGCCUCAUGCCAUCAGAUGUGCCCAGAUGGGAUUAGCUAGUAGGUGGGGUAACGGCUCACCUAGGCGACGAUCCCUAGCUGGUCUGAGAGGAUGACCAGCCACACUGGAACUGAGACACGGUCCAGACUCCUACGGGAGGCAGCAGUGGGGAAUAUUGCACAAUGGGCGCAAGCCUGAUGCAGCCAUGCCGCGUGUGUGAAGAAGGCCUUCGGGUUGUAAAGCACUUUCAGCGGGGAGGAAGGCGGUGAGGUUAAUAACCUCAUCGAUUGACGUUACCCGCAGAAGAAGCACCGGCUAACUCCGUGCCAGCAGCCGCGGUAAUACGGAGGGUGCAAGCGUUAAUCGGAAUUACUGGGCGUAAAGCGCACGCAGGCGGUCUGUCAAGUCGGAUGUGAAAUCCCCGGGCUCAACCUGGGAACUGCAUUCGAAACUGGCAGGCUAGAGUCUUGUAGAGGGGGGUAGAAUUCCAGGUGUAGCGGUGAAAUGCGUAGAGAUCUGGAGGAAUACCGGUGGCGAAGGCGGCCCCCUGGACAAAGACUGACGCUCAGGUGCGAAAGCGUGGGGAGCAAACAGGAUUAGAUACCCUGGUAGUCCACGCCGUAAACGAUGUCGAUUUGGAGGUUGUGCCCUUGAGGCGUGGCUUCCGGAGCUAACGCGUUAAAUCGACCGCCUGGGGAGUACGGCCGCAAGGUUAAAACUCAAAUGAAUUGACGGGGGCCCGCACAAGCGGUGGAGCAUGUGGUUUAAUUCGAUGCAACGCGAAGAACCUUACCUGGUCUUGACAUCCACAGAACUUUCCAGAGAUGGAUUGGUGCCUUCGGGAACUGUGAGACAGGUGCUGCAUGGCUGUCGUCAGCUCGUGUUGUGAAAUGUUGGGUUAAGUCCCGCAACGAGCGCAACCCUUAUCCUUUGUUGCCAGCGGUCCGGCCGGGAACUCAAAGGAGACUGCCAGUGAUAAACUGGAGGAAGGUGGGGAUGACGUCAAGUCAUCAUGGCCCUUACGACCAGGGCUACACACGUGCUACAAUGGCAUAUACAAAGAGAAGCGA